GAUUCGAGCGAAAGCGAGAAAGCGUUGCCGCAGGCAACGACCCGAAGGGCGAAGCGCGCAGCGCUGAGUCAUCCUUCCCCCACCACCA
Molecule: small RNA, 88 nt
Filed under: Salmonella enterica subsp. enterica serovar Muenchen
Lineage: Bacteria; Pseudomonadati; Pseudomonadota; Gammaproteobacteria; Enterobacterales; Enterobacteriaceae
Also listed under: 4 other names
Description: partial RtT sRNA
Rfam family: RtT RNA
About the family: This family represents a bacterial cis-regulatory element known as RtT RNA. The exact function of RtT is unknown although it is thought that it may be involved in changing the cellular response in relation to amino acid starvation.
Source: RNAcentral